UAUAUGAUGAAACAUUUCCACAUUCGCAGUUUCCACGCUAGCCAUCGAUUGAACCUGAUGGACAAUGAGCGCGAAUACCUUCCUUGGAUGUCUGAUUUA
Molecule: small nucleolar RNA, 99 nt
Filed under: Parastagonospora nodorum SN15
Lineage: Eukaryota; Fungi; Ascomycota; Dothideomycetes; Pleosporales; Phaeosphaeriaceae
Description: Phaeosphaeria nodorum SN15 small nucleolar RNA SNORD14
Source: RNAcentral